This 72-nucleotide transfer RNA is filed under the name Camelus ferus (Wild Bactrian camel). It matches the Rfam family "tRNA". Rfam says of the family: Transfer RNA (tRNA) molecules are approximately 80 nucleotides in length. Their secondary structure includes four short double-helical elements and three loops (D, anti-codon, and T loops). Lineage: Eukaryota; Metazoa; Chordata; Mammalia; Artiodactyla; Camelidae. The record is from Rfam by way of RNAcentral.
GGGCAUAUAGCUCAGUGGUGGAGCGUGUGCUUAGCAUGCACAAGGUCCUAGGUUCAACCUCCAGUACCUCCA